Molecule: ribosomal RNA, 1330 nt
Filed under: uncultured Lactarius
Lineage: Eukaryota; Fungi; Basidiomycota; Agaricomycetes; Russulales; Russulaceae
Description: eukaryotic LSU rRNA
Rfam family: Eukaryotic large subunit ribosomal RNA (bases 657-1330)
Source: RNAcentral
AAGUCGUAACAAGGUUUCCGUAGGUGAACCUGCGGAAGGAUCAUUAUCGUAACAAAGACGUGGGAGGUGCUCGAAGGCUGUCGCCGGCUCGAAAGGGUCGUGCACGCCGGAAGGGUGUCCUCUUGCGUGAAAUCCAUCUCACCCCUUUUGUGCACCACCGCGUGGGCUUCCUCCUCGAGGCGGCUCGCGUUUUUCAUACAAACCCCCUUUGUAAAUGUCUGUAGAAUGUCCCCAUUUUGUUUGCGUUGACACGCGAUCAAUACAACUUUCAACAACGGAUCUCUUGGCUCUCGCAUCGAUGAAGAACGCAGCGAAAUGCGAUACGUAAUGUGAAUUGCAGAAUUCAGUGAAUCAUCGAAUCUUUGAACGCACCUUGCGCCCCUUGGUAUUCCGAGGGGCACACCCGUUUGAGUGUCGUGAAAAUCUCAACCUCCUCGGUUUCUUUUGAAUGCCGAAGGAGGCUUGGACUUUGGAGGGCUUUGCUGGACUUGAAAGGUCAGCUCCUCUUAAAUGAAUUAGCGAGGUCCCCUUUGCCGAUCCUCGACGUGUGAUAAGAUGCUUCCACGUCUCGGUCUUUGGCUCUGUCGCCUCUUGGGACCUGCUUCCAAUCGUCUCUCGACGAGACAACGUUCGAGCGUGCCUCGACCACGUACCCUUGACCUCAAAUCGGGUGAGACUACCCGCUGAACUUAAGCAUAUCAAUAAGCGGAGGAAAAGAAACUAACAAGGAUUCCCCUAGUAACUGCGAGUGAAGCGGGAAAAGCUCAAAUUUAAAAUCUGGCGGUCCUUGGCCGUCCGAGUUGUAAUUUAGAGAAGCGUCUUCCGCGCCGGACCGUGCACAAGUCUCCUGGAAUGGAGCGUCGUAGAGGGUGAGAAUCCCGUCUUUGGCACGGACACCCGGUGCUUCUGUGAUGCGCUCUCGAAGAGUCGAGUUGUUUGGGAAUGCAGCUCAAAAUGGGUGGUGAACUCCAUCUAAAGCUAAAUAUUGGCGAGAGACCGAUAGCGAACAAGUACCGUGAGGGAAAGAUGAAAAGCACUUUGGAAAGAGAGUGAAACAGUACGUGAAAUUGUUGAAAGGGAAACGCUUGAAGUCAGUCGCGUCGACCGAGACUCAGCCUUGCCUCGGCUUGGUGUACUUCUCGGACUGACGGGUCAGCGUCGAUUUUGCUGCUCGGAUAAUGGCAAGGGAAAGGUGGCACCUUUGCGGGUGUGUUAUAGUCUCCUGUCGCAUGCGAGGGGCGAGAUCGAGGAACUCAGCGCGCGCCUCUGGCGUCGGGGCUUUGGCCCACGUAACGCGCUUAGGACGCUGGCGUAAUGGCUUUAAACGACC